CAUAGAGAGAGAGAGAGAGAGAGAGAGAGAGAGAGAGAGAGAGGGAGAGGGAGGGGGGGAUAGAGAACAACAAUAAAACAUGGGUUGGCAAUGAUUUGAAUGUGAAUAUACUGAUACCAAAAUUUCAGUUUGGCUCAAGCACAUCGACGAAUUGGCAGCGGCAAUGGGAAGGGGAAAAAUAUAGUUUGUGUACAGUGUUCCAGCUUCCCAUCAACAAAAGACGUAGACAUCUAAAUAAACUCCAAAUUCAAUUCCAAACCUACGAAGAAUUUUGUCUAUCUUGUUUUGAAGAAGUUGGUGAAAAGUUCUGGCAAUGCAAUGAGCUUCGAUGUUAGCUCCAGGACUUCCAAUAAGUUAGAAUGGUAACUGAAAUCUAUCCAGACCAUUUCUAUUCUGUUGUCCUCUAAACAGAACAGGUGUUCCUACAAAAAUGAAAACAUCAUUCGACAAAUGGAAAGAAACAAAAUGAACCAUACAAAUUGCAAAAUUGUAUUAUUGUCUCUUUCACAUGUGGCUGACUAUAUUUAUUAAUGAAAGUCUAGCUAAUAGACAAGUAAGCACGAAAAGGUCCAAAAUUGAAAUGGGUACAACAGCUAACUCAAAAGCCAAAAAUAGAAGAAUCCCACGUAACUGAUUUCAGGUUAUGUGUGAAAGCAAUAAAAAGAGGCCAAAAUUCCAAUCCACUCCAUUAACACGUCAUAGUGAAUGAUAGCCCCAAUAUUUAAUUCAAAAACAAAGAGAAGAGAAACUAAACAUCAUUGAAACAAUUGAAUGGUGAAUAAGUGUGAAGCACCAUAACCAUAACACCUACCAUGAUGAUAGAGUGAAAUGCUUAUGGAUCACAAGCUUGGCAUGUUCUCAUUCGAAAAAAAUUUAAAAACAAUUAAAAAAAAAAACACCAAGGCUUUACAUGUUCCCAAGGUUAAGGGCAAGAUUACUUUUGUUGUACUUGUUUCUUUUAUUAUUCAAUUUGUGCAGGCCUCACCGACCCACAGGUCCAACUCGCACUCAUGAUGAUGGCUGAAUUUUGUUUUUCAUGCCAUGUGUUUCUGCAACAAACAAGGAAUUUCUCACUAGAUAUAUAUGUCUUCUGGAUGGAAUUGCUAUUACACUGUUCUUCCCAUCACUGCCGCUAUACAACCGAAGGGGAAGCCAACCAACAGAUUCCAUGUAUGCCGUCUAGAGAAUUCUUUUCAGUAGUUAUCAGAUUUCAGAUUCUAAAAAUUCAAAAUAUUUCAUACGCUUUGGCGAUUUCAAUAUCGUGGAUGUUAUCACAGUUGUUUUCGACAACCAAAUAACUUGGAAGAAGAACCAAUUGACAGAAAGAUCGGAAAACUGUGUGAAUAUGCUGCAAAAAAUCCUUUAUGUAUACCCAAGGUACUAUUUGAUUCUUUUGGAGAUUCUCAUAAUAAUGAGUUUCCUUCGGUCAUUCUAUGUUAAUUUUUUUUGGUUAAACCCAAUGAAACAUAUAAGUAAUGUACAAACACCCAAUUUGAAUUAUUGUUCUAAAAGUAGCUGCUCUUAAAACAUCAUGAACUUGGAAAAAAAUUAUAGAACUUUUUGGUAUUGCAACAUAAAGCUGUAAUUACAACUUCUUGGGGCCUGCAACAUAUAAAUAAUGAUAGUAAGCAUUCCUCUCC
Molecule: non-coding RNA, 1640 nt
Organism: Camellia sinensis
Lineage: Eukaryota; Viridiplantae; Streptophyta; Magnoliopsida; Ericales; Theaceae
Source: RefSeq, a predicted model, not a curated record